CAGUCGCCGCGGUAAUACUGAGGGUGCAAGCGUUAAUCGGAAUUACUGGGCGUAAAGCGCACGCAGGCGGUCUGACAAGUCAGAUGUGAAAUCCCCGGGCUUAACCUGGGAACUGCAUUUGAAACUGUCAGGCUGGAGUCUUGUAGAGGGGGGUGGAAUUCCAGGUGUAGCGGUGAAAUGCGUAGAGAUCUGGAGGAAUACCGGUGGCGAAGGCGGCCCCCUGGACAAAGACUGACGCUUAGGUGCGAAAGCGUGGGGAGCAAACAGGAUUAGAUACCCGAGUAGUCCCUGUCUCUUAUAC
This 301-nucleotide ribosomal RNA is filed under the name uncultured bacterium. RNAcentral's name for it is "partial 16S ribosomal RNA". It matches the Rfam family "Bacterial small subunit ribosomal RNA", at positions 509 to 807 of the family's 1533-position model. The record is from RNAcentral.